AGUGACCAGAAGACUAGAGUGUGAGCCUAUGCGCGGGCAGGGCCACCAGAGGGCUCCUUGGUCUAGCGGUAACGCCA
Rhinopithecus bieti (black snub-nosed monkey) is the source of this 77-nucleotide microRNA precursor. Lineage: Eukaryota; Metazoa; Chordata; Mammalia; Primates; Cercopithecidae. The record is from Ensembl.